Gordionus sp. m RMFG-2023 is the source of this 1100-nucleotide long non-coding RNA. RefSeq lists it as uncharacterized. Lineage: Eukaryota; Metazoa; Nematomorpha; Gordioida; Chordodea; Parachordodidae. The record is from RefSeq and is a predicted model, not a curated record. The transcript is spliced from 3 exons.
UUGGUGAUUUUUGAAAAUUUUAUAAUUUGUUUUUUUGGUUAUAUUUUCCUUUAAAAGGCCUCUAGUUUUAUGGAUGUAAUGUAAUUUUCUUCGGAUUCCUAUUCUAUCGAAAUCUUCAAAUUUACUCGCAGAUAUUCACUUUAAGCGAAAGUUCGAUAUCCAAUAAUCCCUCCCGAAGAACUCUCCGAUUGAAACAAGAUAAUCGUCAUAAACAUACAUUAUCGCAUUCAAAGAAACCGACACCUCUGUCAGAUAUCACGAACCGGGUCCUCGUUAGUUCCUCUUCCUAUUCCCACCACCACAAAGAAAUAUCGACAAGGGCUCAAAAUGCCAAGCACUCUACACCAGUUCUUAACGAGCAACGUAAGGCGUCCAAUCUAAAUCUCAAACCACUCGCCGGCCAUUUAAAUUAUAUCAGCACCCCGGAGGCAUCCUGCGAAUCGCAAACCCCCAUAUUACGGGAUUAUAGUAGGCUUUCCCGAUCCAAUAAUUCGUUAAACGUAUCGCGCAUAUCCAAAACUCGUUCUCCUUUAGAGAAAAGCGAAUCGAUUAUCUUGGAUACUACGAAAUAUCCACCUCAUAAUCACGAUUUACUCCCAAAAAAUCCCGGAAAAAAUUUGGUCAAGAAAAGACGGAAGCAACCAAACGAAGAAGAGAUCGAACGAUGGUGCCAUCUUAAAAAUUCUGAAUUAGAAAAAAUCGACAGCCAGGAAUUAUUCAUCGAAUAAAUAAAUAAAAAAUUAUAUAAUAAUUUCAUUUUUAUAUUUAUACUUAAAAAUUAUAAAAAAAUGUUGAUAGAAUUGUUAUUCAUGUAUUUUAACGUCAGCGGACUUUUAGUUUACUUAAUAUUAAUAAUAUCUCAUUCUAUUAGCAUACCACCAAAUCUAAUAUAUUAUAAAAUUUGAAUUUUAUUGCUAAGGCCAAACCAAACAUUUAAAUAUUUUCAUUGCCAAUUAACGAAAAUUAUUCAUUUUUUUAUAAGGAAAUCAAGGAGAUACUUUACAGCCAAGAUUGCUUUUUCUACCUCCUGUGGUCUCGCGUUAGAUUUCAAACAUCCCAUUUUAAUUAUAAGAUUUUUUUAAAAAAAUAUAACUAUUAUU